This 269-nucleotide ribosomal RNA is filed under the name uncultured prokaryote. Its description in RNAcentral is "partial 16S ribosomal RNA". It matches the Rfam family "Bacterial small subunit ribosomal RNA", at positions 524 to 792 of the family's 1533-position model. The record is from RNAcentral.
UACGUAGGGGACGAGCGUUGUCCGGAUUUACUGGGCGUAAAGGGAGCGUAGGCGGACUUUUAAGUGAGAUGUGAAAUACCCGGGCUCAACUUGGGUGCUGCAUUUCAAACUGGAAGUCUAGAGUGCAGGAGAGGAGAAUGGAAUUCCUAGUGUAGCGGUGAAAUGCGUAGAGAUUAGGAAGAACACCAGUGGCGAAGGCGAUUCUCUGGACUGUAACUGACGCUGAGGCUCGAAAGCGUGGGGAGCAAACAGGAUUAGAUACCCCUGUA